This 1410-nucleotide ribosomal RNA is filed under the name Salmonella enterica. Its description in RNAcentral is "partial 23S ribosomal RNA". It matches the Rfam family "Bacterial large subunit ribosomal RNA", at positions 1538 to 2925 of the family's 2925-position model. Lineage: Bacteria; Pseudomonadati; Pseudomonadota; Gammaproteobacteria; Enterobacterales; Enterobacteriaceae. The record is from RNAcentral.
AAAUCCGGUUCACUUUAACACUGAGGCGUGACGACGAGGCACUACGGUGCUGAAGCAACAAAUGCCCUGCUUCCAGGAAAAGCCUCUAAGCAUCAGGUAACAUCAAAUCGUACCCCAAACCGACACAGGUGGUCAGGUAGAGAAUACCAAGGCGCUUGAGAGAACUCGGGUGAAGGAACUAGGCAAAAUGGUGCCGUAACUUCGGGAGAAGGCACGCUGACACGUAGGUGAAGUGAUUUACUCAUGGAGCUGAAGUCAGUCGAAGAUACCAGCUGGCUGCAACUGUUUAUUAAAAACACAGCACUGUGCAAACACGAAAGUGGACGUAUACGGUGUGACGCCUGCCCGGUGCCGGAAGGUUAAUUGAUGGGGUCAGCGCAAGCGAAGCUCCUGAUCGAAGCCCCGGUAAACGGCGGCCGUAACUAUAACGGUCCUAAGGUAGCGAAAUUCCUUGUCGGGUAAGUUCCGACCUGCACGAAUGGCGUAAUGAUGGCCAGGCUGUCUCCACCCGAGACUCAGUGAAAUUGAACUCGCUGUGAAGAUGCAGUGUACCCGCGGCAAGACGGAAAGACCCCGUGAACCUUUACUAUAGCUUGACACUGAACAUUGAGCCUUGAUGUGUAGGAUAGGUGGGAGGCUUUGAAGUGUGGACGCCAGUCUGCAUGGAGCCGACCUUGAAAUACCACCCUUUAAUGUUUGAUGUUCUAACGUGGACCCGUUACCCGGGUUGCGGACAGUGUCUGGUGGGUAGUUUGACUGGGGCGGUCUCCUCCUAAAGAGUAACGGAGGAGCACGAAGGUUGGCUAAUCCUGGUCGGACAUCAGGAGGUUAGUGCAAUGGCAUAAGCCAGCUUGACUGCGAGCGUGACGGCGCGAGCAGGUGCGAAAGCAGGUCAUAGUGAUCCGGUGGUUCUGAAUGGAAGGGCCAUCGCUCAACGGAUAAAAGGUACUCCGGGGAUAACAGGCUGAUACCGCCCAAGAGUUCAUAUCGACGGCGGUGUUUGGCACCUCGAUGUCGGCUCAUCACAUCCUGGGGCUGAAGUAGGUCCCAAGGGUAUGGCUGUUCGCCAUUUAAAGUGGUACGCGAGCUGGGUUUAGAACGUCGUGAGACAGUUCGGUCCCUAUCUGCCGUGGGCGCUGGAGAACUGAGGGGGGCUGCUCCUAGUACGAGAGGACCGGAGUGGACGCAUCACUGGUGUUCGGGUUGUCAUGCCAAUGGCACUGCCCGGUAGCUAAAUGCGGAAGAGAUAAGUGCUGAAAGCAUCUAAGCACGAAACUUGCCCCGAGAUGAGUUCUCCCUGAGACUUUAGGUCUCCUGAAGGAACGUUGAAGACGACGACGUUGAUAGGCCGGGUGUGUAAGCGCAGCGAUGCGUUGAGCUAACCGGUACUAAUGAACCGUGAGGCUUAAC